This 253-nucleotide ribosomal RNA is filed under the name uncultured bacterium. RNAcentral's name for it is "partial 16S ribosomal RNA". It matches the Rfam family "Bacterial small subunit ribosomal RNA", at positions 524 to 776 of the family's 1533-position model. The record is from RNAcentral.
UACGAAGGGGGCUAGCGUUGCUCGGAAUGAUUGGGCGUAAAGCGUCUGUAGGUGGCUUUUUAAGUCUGCCGUCAAAUCCCAGGGCUUAACCCUGGACAGGCGGUGGAAACUACCAAGCUGGAGUACGGUAGGGGCAGGGGGAAUUUCCGGUGGAGCGGUGAAAUGCGUAGAGAUCGGAAAGAACACCAACGGCGAAAGCACUCUGCUGGGCCGACACUGACACUGAGAGACGAAAGCUAGGGGAGCGAAUGGG